AUUGAACGCUGGCGGCAUGCUUUACACAUGCAAGUCGAACGGUAACAGGUCUUCGGAUGCUGACGAGUGGCGAACGGGUGAGUAACACAUCGGAACGUGCCUAGUAGUGGGGGAUAACUACUCGAAAGAGUAGCUAAUACCGCAUGAGAUCUAAGGAUGAAAGCAGGGGACCUUCGGGCCUUGCGCUACUAGAGCGGCUGAUGGCAGAUUAGGUAGUUGGUGGGAUAAAAGCUUACCAAGCCGACGAUCUGUAGCUGGUCUGAGAGGACGACCAGCCACACUGGGACUGAGACACGGCCCAGACUCCUACGGGAGGCAGCAGUGGGGAAUUUUGGACAAUGGGCGAAAGCCUGAUCCAGCAAUGCCGCGUGCAGGAUGAAGGCCCUCGGGUUGUAAACUGCUUUUGUACGGAACGAAAAGACUCUCUCUAAUAAAGAGGGUUGAUGACGGUACCGGAAGAAUAAGCACCGGCUAACUACGUG
This 482-nucleotide ribosomal RNA is filed under the name uncultured bacterium. Its description in RNAcentral is "partial 16S ribosomal RNA". It matches the Rfam family "Bacterial small subunit ribosomal RNA", at positions 30 to 507 of the family's 1533-position model. The record is from RNAcentral.